This 260-nucleotide ribosomal RNA is filed under the name Chilostoma fuchsiana. RNAcentral describes it as "partial 16S ribosomal RNA". It matches the Rfam family "Bacterial large subunit ribosomal RNA", at positions 1969 to 2536 of the family's 2925-position model. Lineage: Eukaryota; Metazoa; Mollusca; Gastropoda; Stylommatophora; Helicidae. The record is from RNAcentral.
UUGACUCUUAAUUGGGGCCGGGAAUGAACGAAUAUACGGAAAAGAGCUGUCCCUUUAAUAUAGGCGAAUUUGGUGAGCAAGUGCAAAUACUUGUAUAUUUAAAUUAGACGAGAAGACCCUUGAAGCUUUAGAAAAUUCUUUUGUUGGGGCGACAGAACUGCAUUAAACCAGUUUGCUAAUACCUGAAGGCUAGCAUGUGCGUUGAAGCUACUCGAGGGAUAACAGCAUAAUUUUUAAAAGUUUGUGACCUCGAUGUUGGA